CCUCCUUUUCUUGGCAGGGAUUCCCGAUCCAUGUAAUGUACAGAAGUAGAAGGAAUGGGCUCUGGCCUCCUUGGGAUCAUGUCCUCAGUACCAGCAGUUUCCAGUCUGCUGGUUCUAUCCUCAAGUGCCGGGAUACAG
This 138-nucleotide small nucleolar RNA is filed under the name Moschus moschiferus (Siberian musk deer). Its description in RNAcentral is "Small nucleolar RNA SNORA57 (ENSMMSG00000011494.1)". It matches the Rfam family "Small nucleolar RNA SNORA57". From Rfam's summary of the family: U99 belongs to the H/ACA class of snoRNAs which are thought to guide the sites of modification of uridines to pseudouridines, the target for this family is unknown. The record is from Rfam by way of RNAcentral. Lineage: Eukaryota; Metazoa; Chordata; Mammalia; Artiodactyla; Moschidae.